AUACGAAGGGGGCUAGCGUUGUUCGGAAUUACUGGGCGUAAAGCGCGCGUAGGCGGAUUGGUCAGUUAGGGGUGAAAUCCCAGGGCUUAACCCUGGAACUGCCUCUAAUACUGCCAGUCUUGAGUUCGGGAGAGGUGAGUGGAAUUCCUAGUGUAGAGGUGAAAUUCGUAGAUAUUAGGAAGAACACCAGUGGCGAAGGCGGCUCAUUGGCCCGAUACUGACGCUGAGGUGCGAAAGCGUGGGGAGCAAACAGGAUUAGAAACCCUAGUAGUCC
RNAcentral lists this ribosomal RNA (274 nucleotides) under uncultured bacterium. RNAcentral's name for it is "partial 16S ribosomal RNA". It matches the Rfam family "Bacterial small subunit ribosomal RNA", at positions 523 to 796 of the family's 1533-position model. The record is from RNAcentral.